GGGGAUGUGGCUCAGUGGUAGAGCACUUGCUUAGCAUGUGUGAGGCACUGGGUUCGAUUCUCAGCACCA
Ictidomys tridecemlineatus (thirteen-lined ground squirrel) is the source of this 69-nucleotide non-coding RNA. Lineage: Eukaryota; Metazoa; Chordata; Mammalia; Rodentia; Sciuridae. The record is from Rfam.